UUCGCUGCCAUAUAUUAAUAAAUAUACGGGCGCCAAAAUUGCCACUUUAUUUCCCCUCCCGCCCGCGACUUAGUCAGUCUGGCUACCCCCUCUUCUCCGUUUGGUUUUCAUCGAGCUUGAGAGAAACUGCAACCGAAAUCCCUCCGUUCACUCCAUACUAAUUCGCUGCGAUAAUCCCCAUUUUCGAAUACCCACAAAGCUCCAUCUCGAUUCCUCCACUGCGUUUUCUUGUGUGGUUGAAGCUUUGUCGUCGUUUCCUUCCAAAACCAACCUCUGUGCCUCCAUCGAAUGGCUUACCCAUUAGCUUGCCCACACAGUACCCCCUUCAAAUCUUCCACAUUCUGAACCGAGUAGUACUUCGGCUACCAAAAAUAUAAUCCCUAUUCAGUCAGAACCACGAUGUACACACGCAGUACCCCUGCCAAACGAAGCCCUCUGUUGUGAUUGGGAAGGGGCUAACCUCUUGUUGAAGUGUUAGUCCGAAACAAAGGGGUCAGAAGUCCCAAACAAAACAGCUAAAACGAGGCAAACUAGUUCGUGUUGGGCUCUGUUGGGCAAAAUCCACUAUUCGGUACCUCUACUCAGAUUGUGCGAGUAGCUCUAUUCAUGUAUUGUUGGGAGGAAGGCAGAUGGGAAGUAUAGAGAAAGGGUUGUUUCUCAUAUUCUUCUCUUACCUAUGUAUUUGUUCAACUUCAUCCCCUCUUCAGAAUGGUCUUACUUUCUCCAGGUUGGUUGAGAACCUACAAAGCCCAGCUGGCUAACCUCCUCUCAAUCUUCUCAUUCACUCCUUCCCAAAUUGAAACAGAUUUAUAUAUUAUUACAACAAGAGAACAAAACAAUCUGUUUGGGAAAAGCCGGCAGAAUUGAUGACUCCAGUUGAGGUGAUUCUCAUUACUGAUUUGUUGCUAUUGCUGUAGUCACUCUGUCUGCUCCUGUUACCUGUUAUACAUUUGAUUGAAAUGCUCAGGAAUACUCAUAAACGAUGC
Molecule: long non-coding RNA, 986 nt
Organism: Carya illinoinensis
Lineage: Eukaryota; Viridiplantae; Streptophyta; Magnoliopsida; Fagales; Juglandaceae
Exons: 4
Source: RefSeq, a predicted model, not a curated record